CCUACGGGGGGCUGCAGUGGGGAAUAUUGGACAAUGGGCGAAAGCCUGAUCCAGCCAUGCCGCGUGUGUGAAGAAGGCCUUCGGGUUGUAAAGCACUUUCAGUGGGGAAGAAAGCCUUGGGGCUAAUACCCUCGAGGAAGGACAUCACCCACAGAAGAAGCACCGGCUAACUCCGUGCCAGCAGCCGCGGUAAUACGGAGGGUGCGAGCGUUAAUCGGAAUUACUGGGCGUAAAGCGCGCGUAGGCGGUCUGAUAAGCCGGUUGUGAAAGCCCCGGGCUCAACCUGGGAACGGCAUCCGGAACUGGCAGGCUAGAGGGCAGGAGAGGAAGGUAGAAUUCCCGGUGUAGCGGUGAAAUGCGUAGAGAUCGGGAGGAAUACCAGUGGCGAAGGCGGCCUUCUGGACUGACACUGACGCUGAGGUGCGAAAGCGUGGGUAGCAAACAGGAUUAGAUACCCCUGUAGUC
RNAcentral lists this ribosomal RNA (465 nucleotides) under Vreelandella stevensii. RNAcentral's name for it is "partial 16S ribosomal RNA". It matches the Rfam family "Bacterial small subunit ribosomal RNA", at positions 338 to 795 of the family's 1533-position model. The record is from RNAcentral. Lineage: Bacteria; Pseudomonadati; Pseudomonadota; Gammaproteobacteria; Oceanospirillales; Halomonadaceae.